CGCCUCCUGACUUAACCAUAGGAGGUCCAGCCUGCCCAAUGAAUAUUGAAUGGCCGCGGUACUCUUACCGUGCGAAGGUAGCAUAAUCACUUGUUCAUUAAAUGUGGACUAGUAUGAACGGCACCACGAGGGUUACACUGUCUCCCUACUCUAAUCAAUGAAACUAUUCUUCCCGUGAAGAAACGGGAAUUUUUACAUAAGACGAGAAGACCCCAUGGAGCUUAAAACCCAGAACAUCUACCUAUUUCUUUUUUCAACCAAAUAUACAGUACUAUGUCCCUGGUUUUUGGUUGGGGCAACCACGGAGAAAAUAAUAACCUCCAUGAUGAAUAAACUAUACUUUUACCUAAGAACCACAUUUCUAAAGAUCAUUAAUAUGACAUUUCUUGACCCAAGUUUACUUGAUCAACGAACCUAGUUACCCUGGGGAUAACAGCGCAAUCCAUUUCAAGAGCCCAUAUCGACAAAUGGGUUUACGACCUCGAUGUUGGAUCAGGGUAUCCCAGUGGUGCAACCGCUACUAAAGGUUUGUUUGUUCAACAAUUAAUAACCCU
This 554-nucleotide ribosomal RNA is filed under the name Probreviceps sp. MW 6966. Its description in RNAcentral is "partial 16S ribosomal RNA". It matches the Rfam family "Bacterial large subunit ribosomal RNA", at positions 1817 to 2597 of the family's 2925-position model. The record is from RNAcentral. Lineage: Eukaryota; Metazoa; Chordata; Amphibia; Anura; Brevicipitidae.